UACCCUAAUUUUCCUAGUUUGAAACACAAACUACUAACAACUUGAACAGCUAGCAUACCUGUCCUUGUGCUUUACCAAAACCAACAUGCCAUCAGUUCUUGCAUAUAAUCCUGUUAAAACUUAAAACAGCUAGGCCUAGGGCACUGUCUAUGUAAAACAGCAAACGUUUAGACAAUCUAUUGAAAUUCUUUGACUUUCAACCUCGCGAAUACUACGCACGGGUUUGCU
Molecule: non-coding RNA, 228 nt
Organism: Paramuricea clavata
Lineage: Eukaryota; Metazoa; Cnidaria; Anthozoa; Malacalcyonacea; Plexauridae
Source: the annotation of a GenBank genome assembly